This 449-nucleotide ribosomal RNA is filed under the name uncultured bacterium. RNAcentral's name for it is "bacterial SSU rRNA". It matches the Rfam family "Bacterial small subunit ribosomal RNA", at positions 355 to 796 of the family's 1533-position model. The record is from RNAcentral.
UGGGGAAUAUUGCGCAAUGGGCGAAAGCCUGACGCAGCGACGCCGCGUGGAGGAUGAAGGUCUUCGGAUUGUAAACUUCUGUUAAGUGAGAAAAAAGCUCUAUACCUAAUACGUAUAGAGGAUGAUUGUACCAUUAGAGAAAGCACCGGCUAACUUCGUGCCAGCAGCCGCGGUAAUACGAAGGGUGCAAGCGUUAUUCGGAUUUAUUGGGCGUAAAGGGUGUGUAGGCGGUACACUAAGUCUAUUGUUAAAUGCUCCGGCCUAACCGGAGACAUGCGGUGGAAACUGGUGUGCUAGAGGAUGGAAGAGAGAAGUGGAAUUCUCGGAGUAGCGGUAAAAUGCGUAGAUCUCGAGAGGAACACCAAUGGCGAAGGCAGCUUCUUGGUCCAUAUCUGACGCUGAAACACGAAAGCGUGGGGAGCAAACAGGAUUAGAUACCCCCGUAGUCC